This 378-nucleotide unclassified non-coding RNA is filed under the name uncultured delta proteobacterium. RNAcentral describes it as "contains 16S-23S intergenic spacer region". The record is from RNAcentral. Lineage: Bacteria; Deltaproteobacteria.
UCUGCCUUAUCGGCAAGCGGUCCCAUUAGAGUGCCCAACUUAAUGCUGGCAACUAAUGGCAAGGGUUGCGCUCGUUGCGGGACUUAACCCAACAUCUCACGACACGAGCUGACGACAGCCAUGCAGCACCUGUCACCGUGUCCCCGAAGGGAACCCCGACUUUCACCGGGUAGCACGGGAUGUCAAGCCCAGGUAAGGUUUUUCGCGUUGCAUCGAAUUAAACCACAUACUCCACCGCUUGUGCGGGCCCCCGUCAAUUUCUUUGAGUUUUAAUCUUGCGACCGUAAUCCCCAGGCGGGGUACUUAAUGCGUUAGCUACGACACCGAGAGGGUAAGAACUCCCGACAUCUAGUACCCAUCGUUUACGGCGUGGACUAC